Molecule: small RNA, 596 nt
Filed under: Pan troglodytes (chimpanzee)
Lineage: Eukaryota; Metazoa; Chordata; Mammalia; Primates; Hominidae
Description: retained intron
Source: RNAcentral
AGCGGAGAGCAGGGCAGAGCCUGAGCAGGCAGGGCACCUCCAGGUGGGCAGGAGCUACCACUCAGCACCAUGAGCACCGCCACAGGCCCAGAAGCUGCCCCGAAGCCAAGCGCCAAGUCUAUCUAUGAGCAGAGGAAGCGUUACUCCACAGUUGUUAUGGCUGAUGUAUCCCAGUACCCAGUCAAUCACCUGGUGACGUUCUGCCUGGGUGAGGACGAUGGCGUGCAUACCGUGGAGGAUGCCUCCAGGAAGUUGGCCGUCAUGGAUAGCCAGGGCCGAGUCUGGGCACAGGAGAUGCUGCUGCGAGUGUCUCCCGACCAUGUCACGCUGCUCGACCCGGCCUCCAAGGAGGAGCUGGAGUCGUACCCACUGGGCGCCAUCGUGCGCUGUGACGCGGUGAUGCCACCCGGCAGGAGCCGCUCGUUGCUGCUGCUCGUGUGCCAGGAACCCGAGCGCGCGCAGCCCGACGUGCACUUCUUCCAGGGCCUGCGCCUCGGGGUGAGCGGAUGGGCUGGCUCUGGGGGUGGAGCUGGAACUGGGCGGAGCCUGGAGCCGGGGCGGAAAUGGGUGGGGCCUCUAGGUGGGGCGGGGCCUGG